CACUUGGACUAUGCGGUGUGAGUGGAAUACCGACUUUCUUUCAAAACAAUAAUAUCUCUUUCUGCUACUGAGGGGAUUCCUCCCUUACUUGGACUUGUCAGCAAUGAAAGGUAGAGUUCAGUCAAUCACUAGAGAAUUAGCCGAGGGGGCAAGCAGGCAUACCUGGCAUACAAGUUUGAUUGUUGCCUUUGAUUCGAGGCGAGAGAUAGCCUAUCACUGAACCCUAAAUUCUUAUAUGAUUGUAGUCCACUCAAUUCUUCAAGUAAGGAGCGGCUUGGGGGGCGAGUAACGUCUAGGAAAGCAGUAAACCAUAGAGCAGGAACUGGCACCGAGUAAACCCUCUUCUUAGUUGCUAUCCUCUUAUCGUACCCUAUUCAUUGAGUGUGCUAGCAACCAACAUAGGGAAUUUGCCUAAUAGAGCAACGAAUGCAUUAGUAGCGCAUUGGUGAACUUGAAUAGCGGGCAUUGACUUCUCACUUGUGCUUUUCUCUUUGGGACAGUAAACCCGGACUACUCUACUGGUUGGGCAAGGGGGAAGGAACCUAAAAUGGAGUUAUUGCAACAUAGCUCGGUGAUUCUGCUUCCACUAAUUGAUUUCCUCGGAUUGGAAGACAUAGGCGAUGAUCCUUAUUGCGUUUUCUCGUGCAAGAGAAGGAACCGCUCAUAGGCUUGACUCGCCCUUAACGGUACUAGACUUCAAGUAUAGAGUUAGACUAAAGAAAGGUAUGGUGAUUGACUAGCGGCCGUGCUACUUCUUUCUAGUGGCUUGGGUCUGACUUUCCUACUUGCCCACUUGAGAGUGGAUUUCUUUCUUUCUUAUGAGACCCCUAAACAUUAAGGACAUGUAAUCCAUCGUGCCAUCUCCGCAAAAGUUCCUAUGUUCAGUUAUGAGAGAAGGCGUCGAUGUCAAGUUUCUAUUUCGAUUUAUUCUAUGGUUCUUCGAUUCCAUACUGGAUCCUGGGAACAAUCUAUUUCCGUAAGAUCCAUUUGUUUAUUGUUCAGGAACGGAACUUUGAGUGGUGGGGCAAAUCACUAUGUAGACUUCAUCCGAAGCGGUUGUUCUCUCUGCUUAUCUCUUUCUUAGAAUCAAUUCCUUUACUUUACUCUAAGAGGGGACCUGCUAAAGGUAUCGAGACAGGGUCAGUAAGGCUCUUCAAGUAAUUCAAUUGUGCGCUUGUCCCGGCUAACAAAGUCUAUCAGUGGGUUCGGCCUUGAAAGAUAGAGGCGAACAGGAAUUGGAAUUCUCCGAGUUGGUAUGGUUCACCGAAGAUGUUAUAGCAUGGUUUGUUCACACGGGUGUUUUCGUGCAUUCCUACAUUAACGACUUUCCUCUUUCAGUAUAGUAUUGGCUUUUCAAUAAAAGUGUAUCAAUAGAUAGGGCAAGUUUCUGAACACUAAAUAUAGGGCUCUCUGCUUCGGGUAAUUCUUUUUUAGGCUUCUCUGGAUCUGGAAAAGUCCAUAGGGGCGGUGGCAUUGAAGGCCAUAUUCUACAUUUUGUAAUGGAAUUCUUCUAGUUUCAUAAACUCUUUAUUUGGCUUUGGCCCGCUAAGCCUGUUUCAGACGAAUAAAUCGGGGUAGGUAUUUCAGCAACUGUAACUCACUCAUACUCAUUUGAGUACAGGUAGGGUAGCAUGGACUACUUGCGAGUCAGGAAUUGGAUUUCUAUUCCUAUGGGCUAGUUCCGCUACUAACAACCUAAUCUCUUUAUAGUUAUUGUUGAAUAGUUUAUGAACAAUAAUGGGUCAAACUCAUCAGAGAAUAUAUUAAUAUAGAGAUAUUCUUAAUGCGCAUAGCGUAAGGAGCUGAGCUGUUGUAAUUCAAUUAUCGUGAACAGUGUAGACAGGUGCACCAAUAUCCAAAUACGGGGUUGAUGCCACUUUGAAUUGAUGAUGCGGAUUCUAACCUUGGCAAGUCGGGAGUUACCCGGCUUAGAAUCGAUACCGACUUAAUAUAAGGGCCACUAAUACUGAUGAAACAGGACUACGAAACUACUAGACUACUUUCAGGGGCCAAAAAAGGGACUUGUUCAUAACUAAUCAAAAUACGUAAUUGCUUGUACCGUUGCGAGUCUAGUAGUUGCCUGGACUACUACUUGUUAAAGAAUAAGAUAAGACUGAAUGCUUAGGUGCAAGGGGCUCGUAUAACAAAUAGUACCUUUCAAAUCUGACUUUCAUAGACUAUAUUUCAUUCAACAACUUUCCUUGACGCCGCCACCACAGAGUCUGGGCCCGAAAACUGGAUUCGCUUAAGAAAAGAAGCCGAAUUGACUCUCGAAUCUCCUUCUUGCCCAACACCAGAAAUGAAUACGAGUUUCUUUCGAGUGUUUGUCGCAGAGAAGAGAAGAUCAAAUGAAUUAUUUGUUGACUACUUGGUUAGGAUAAGAGCGGAGGGGUAGCUACUCUCUCUAUCUUUAGGGGCUGUCUAAGACCUCUAAGUGGAAUUAAUGGAUUAGAUAAGGGAAUGCGCUAGCAAUUAUUAUAAGGGCCCACUUCCUAUACUAUCUAAUACUUAUAGAGACAGGAGCCUCAUUCUGUUAUUAAAGAUGAAAUGGGGCAAUCUGAUCGUCACUCACUACAGAAGCUAUAAAAGGUUAAGGUGCAUUAAUAAUAAUAUAUGGAUAUGGCGCAUCACAUUGAUUGACUAGCGGUCCUGCACUAAGUAAGAAAGUCUCCCUUGCCUCUCUCUUCUCUGGUAUUGACCUAUCCUCUGAGUCUCCCACUCUUAAAAGAAUGGAAUGCCCAAGAUCCAUCCCUCUUCUAAGGAGAUGCCAUUUCAUUAUAACAAUCGAUGAACAAUUGAUGGCCGAACACAUAGCAAGUAAUAAAGAUAUGAUAACUGUAAAACACAAGACUUGGGAGUCCCAAUUUAGCCGUAGUUAACAAAUACUAAUUCCACUGACAAGGAAGCAAGACCAUAAGCCUGGGAAGUUUGUCUUGGUAAGUUAGUCUUGAUCCAGUAGUAGAUAACAGUGCCUCUUGUCCUUCUUACUUUCUUCUUGAAUAACUGUAUUCCGUUUUCUACCUUCCGCGAACUGAUUCAAUAACGGAUUGAACUCGGGAUGUAGCCGGCUACUCUGUAAGGAAAUACAGAAUGAAACAUCACCCUAGCUGCCCUAUGACGCCCGCAUCAACACCUGUUCGAUUCUUCCCUAUGAGGUGAAACGCGCAUUAAGUAAUCUGUAUUCCGAGUGGCACAGGGCAAUGAAGCAAGUAAUAAUCUAAGACUGCUGUUGAAGAGUCAAAGGCUUUCACACCAUCUGAUCGAGUAGACAAAACAGGAAGUACGGAAUGCGGAAGGGUAGUUUCAGAAGCGAGGAAGAUUACAUUAGUGAAUGAAUCUGUGUUGGCGCCCCGAGAGAGAAGCUUUCCGGGCAGUAAGUGAUAGAACUAUAGGUAUGUAGGAUCAAGAUUCAAUCAAUAGGGUAAAGUCCAUCAGCAGCAAGAGUCAGCAACGAAGCGGGACGUGAAGCCGACGAAGAAAUAAGGAACUGUUGAAUCCUAGUAAGCGGGCCAAUCUGUACAAAAUGAUAUAUUAUCUUAUUAUAGGAUGACUUAUUCAACUUGAAAGGCCCCGCUCCUGCCGCAAUUAAUUAGGUUCACUCAGGAAAGCUCAUUCCAGUCCUAAAGUAAGGUUAAGGCGAAAGGGAGGUGGUAUCUUUACUACAUUCUAUAUCAAGUGCUCCACCAAGGGCAGAAAGAUCGAAAGCAUUAGCCGCACUUAGUCUUGAUCCAACAAGCUACUCCUCAUGUUGCGCGUUAGUCUAAUUGGUAGUCCAGAGUCCAGAGCCCCAUAACUGUAUUAGUUUGACAGAGUCGAGGCCCUUAUAGUAAGUUUCGGGAAGCUGUGUACUUAAUAAGAAGAAAGAGAAG
This 3869-nucleotide long non-coding RNA is filed under the name Musa acuminata (dwarf banana). Its description in RNAcentral is "long non-coding RNA (MACU_LNC008855)". The record is from RNAcentral. Lineage: Eukaryota; Viridiplantae; Streptophyta; Magnoliopsida; Zingiberales; Musaceae.